Molecule: ribosomal RNA, 984 nt
Filed under: uncultured bacterium
Lineage: Bacteria
Description: bacterial SSU rRNA
Rfam family: Bacterial small subunit ribosomal RNA
Source: RNAcentral
AGAGUUUGAUCAUGGCUCAGAACGAACGCUGGCGGCGUGCUUAACACAUGCAAGUCGCGUGCGCAGUUCCGUAGCAAUACGGGAUGGGCGCACGGCGCACGGGUGCGUAACACGUGGGCAAUCUGCCCUCCGAUGGGGAAUAACCCCGCGAAAGCGGGGCUAAUACCGCAUAACAUUCCUUGGACUAUGGUUUGAGGAUUCAAAGCAGCAAUGCGUCGGAGGAGGAGCCCGCGCCCGAUUAGCUAGUUGGUGAGGUAACGGCCCACCAAGGCAAUGAUCGGUAGCUGGUCUGAGAGGAUGGCCAGCCACACUGGAACUGAGACACGGUCCAGACUCCUACGGGAGGCAGCAGUGGGGAAUCUUGCGCAAUGGGCGAAAGCCUGACGCAGCGACGCCGCGUGGGGGAUGAAGCUUCUCGGAGUGUAAACCCCUUUCGACUGGGACGAAUGCCCGCAAGGGAGUGACGGUACCAGUAGAAGAAGCCCCGGCUAACUACGUGCCAGCAGCCGCGGUAAGACGUAGGGGGCCAGCGUUGUUCGGAAUUACUGGGUGUAAAGGGUUCGUAGGCGGUGUGGCAAGUCGGGAGUGAAAUCUCUGGGCUUAACUCAGAGGCUGCUUCCGAAACUGCUGUGCUUGAGUGUGGGAGAGGCGCGUGGAAUUGCAGGUGUAGCGGUGAAAUGCGUAGAUAUCUGCAGGAACACCCGUGGCGAAAGCGGCGCGCUGGACCACAACUGACGCUGAGGAACGAAAGCUAGGGGAGCAAACAGGAUUAGAUACCCUGGUAGUCCUAGCCCUAAACGAUCAGGACUUGGGGUGCCGCCCGUUCGGGCGUCGUCCCGGAGCUAACGCGUUAAGUCCUGCACCUGGGGAGUACGGUCGCAAGACUGAACUCAAGGAAUUGACGGGGGCCCGCACAAGCGGUGGAACAUGUGGUUCAAUUCGACGCUACGCGAGGAACCUUACCUGGGCUCGAAAUGCUUCGGA